GGCCGCUUGGUGUAGUCGUUGCAUACGCCGUUCGGGUCGGCGUGGUGGUGGGUUCAAAUCCCGCAGCGGCCC
RNAcentral lists this transfer RNA (72 nucleotides) under Microbotryum lychnidis-dioicae p1A1 Lamole. RNAcentral's name for it is "tRNA-Pro (CGG) (tRNA-Pro-CGG-1-1)". It matches the Rfam family "tRNA". From Rfam's summary of the family: Transfer RNA (tRNA) molecules are approximately 80 nucleotides in length. Their secondary structure includes four short double-helical elements and three loops (D, anti-codon, and T loops). Lineage: Eukaryota; Fungi; Basidiomycota; Microbotryomycetes; Microbotryales; Microbotryaceae. The record is from RNAcentral.